ACUCCUACGGGAGGCAGCAGUGGGGAAUAUUGCACAAUGGGCGCAAGCCUGAUGCAGCGACGCCGCGUGAGGGAUGACGGCCUUCGGGUUGUAAACCUCUUUCGGUAGGGACGAAGCGCAAGUGACGGUACCUAUAGAAGAAGCACCGGCCAACUACGUGCCAGCAGCCGCGGUAAUACGUAGGGUGCGAGCGUUGUCCGGAAUUACUGGGCGUAAAGAGCUCGUAGGUGGUUUGUCGCGUUGUUCGUGAAAACUCACAGCUCAACUGUGGGCGUGCGGGCGAUACGGGCAGACUGGAGUACUGCAGGGGAGACUGGAAUUCCUGGUGUAGCGGUGGAAUGCGCAGAUAUCAGGAGGAACACCGGUGGCGAAGGCGGGUCUCUGGGCAGUAACUGACGCUGAGGAGCGAAAGCGUGGGGAGCGAACAGGAUUAGAUACCCUGGUAGUCCACGCCGUAAACGGUGGGUACUAGGUGUGGGUUUCCUUCCUUGGGAUCCGUGCCGUAGCUAACGCA
This 514-nucleotide ribosomal RNA is filed under the name uncultured bacterium. RNAcentral describes it as "bacterial SSU rRNA". It matches the Rfam family "Bacterial small subunit ribosomal RNA", at positions 335 to 859 of the family's 1533-position model. The record is from RNAcentral.